UACAGAGGUCUCAAGCGUUGUUCGGAUUCAUUGGGCGUAAAGGGUGCGUAGGCGGCGCGGUAAGUCGGGUGUGAAAUCUCGGAGCUUAACUCCGAAAACUGCAUUCGAUACUGCCGUGCUUGAGGACUGGAGAGGAGACUGGAAUUUACGGUGUAGCGGUGAAAAUGCGUAGAUAUCGUAAGGAAGACCAGUGGCGAAAGGCGGGUCUCUGGACAGUUCCUGACGCUGAGGCACGAAGGUCAGGGAGCAAACGGGA
RNAcentral lists this ribosomal RNA (256 nucleotides) under uncultured bacterium. RNAcentral's name for it is "partial 16S ribosomal RNA". It matches the Rfam family "Bacterial small subunit ribosomal RNA", at positions 524 to 777 of the family's 1533-position model. The record is from RNAcentral.